This 264-nucleotide ribosomal RNA is filed under the name uncultured Anaerolineaceae bacterium. RNAcentral describes it as "partial 16S ribosomal RNA". It matches the Rfam family "Bacterial small subunit ribosomal RNA", at positions 1105 to 1382 of the family's 1533-position model. Lineage: Bacteria; Bacillati; Chloroflexota; Anaerolineae; Anaerolineales; Anaerolineaceae. The record is from RNAcentral.
UCGUCGUAUGUUAUUAUGUGUCAUACGAGACUGCCGGUAAAAAGCCGAGGAAGGUGAGGAUGAUCGUCAAGUCAGCAUGACCUUUAUAUCCAGGGCUACACACACGCUACAAUGGUCUGUACAAUGGGUAGCCAAGCCGCGAGGCGGAGCCAAUCCUGAAAGCAGGCCUCAGUUCAGAUUGCAGUCUGCAACUCGACUGCAUGAAGCCGGAGUUGCUAGUAACCGCAGGUCAGCAAUACUGCGGUGAAUACGUUCCCGGGUCUU